GAUGAACGCUGGCGGCGCGCCUAACACAUGCAAGUCGAACGAUUAAAGCACCUUCGGGUGUGUAUAAAGUGGCGAACGGCUGAGUAACACGUGGGCAACCUGCCCCUCUCAUUGGGAUAGCCACGGGAAACCGUGGAUAAUACCGAAUACUUCGGGACUUCCGCAUGGAAGACUCGAGAAAGCUCCGGCGGCGAGGGGUGGGCCCGCGGCCUGUUAGCUUGUUGGUGGGGUAAUGGCCUACCAAGGCAAUGAUGGGUAGCUGGGUUGAGAGACCGACCAGCCAGAUUGGGACUGAGACACGGCCCAGACUCCUACGGGAGGCAGAAGUGGGGAAUCUUGCACAAUGGGCGAAAGCCUGAUGCAGCGACGCCGCGUGCGGGAUGAAGGCCUUCGGGUUGUAAACCGCUUUCAGCAGGGACGAGGCGAAAGUGACGGUACCUGCAGAAGAAGCCCCGGCUAACUACGUG
This 467-nucleotide ribosomal RNA is filed under the name uncultured bacterium. RNAcentral describes it as "partial 16S ribosomal RNA". It matches the Rfam family "Bacterial small subunit ribosomal RNA", at positions 28 to 507 of the family's 1533-position model. The record is from RNAcentral.